Molecule: ribosomal RNA, 946 nt
Filed under: uncultured organism
Description: bacterial SSU rRNA
Rfam family: Bacterial small subunit ribosomal RNA
Source: RNAcentral
UUGACGGUACCCUACUAGAAAGGAGCCGCUAACUUCGUGCCAGAAGCGUCGGUAAUACGGGGGCUCCAAGCGUUAUCCGGUGCUAUUGGGCGUAAAGAGUCGUGUAGGUGGUUGGGUAAGUUAUCUUUCAAAUAUCUUUGCUUAACAAAGAGGAGGGGGAUAAUACUGCUCGACUAGAAUUUUCUCAAGGGAGAUCGGAACUGAGGGAGGAGUAGUGAAAUGCGUUGAUACCCUCGGGAACACCAGUGGCGUAGGCGGAUCUCUGGGAGAAGAUUGACACUGAGACACGAAAGCUAGGGGAGCGAAGCAGAUUAGAGACCUGCGUAGUCCUAGCCGUAAACGCAUGCUUGCUAGCUGCAUGAAUCUACCUUCGGGUGGUAUCGUGUGGCGAAGGUAACCCGUUAAGCAAGCCGCCUGGAAAGUACGGCCGCAAGGCUGAAAUUCAAAGGAAUUGGCGGGGAGGCACACAACCAGUGGAACAUGUGGUUUAAUUCGAGACUAACCGAAGAACCUCACCAGGGUUUGACAUGUAGCUGCACGUCUUAAGAAAUUAAGACUCUCUUGAAGGUGCUACACAGGUGCUGCAUGGCUGUCGUCAGCUCGUUCCGUGAGGAGUGCCCUUAAGUGGGACAACGAGCGCAACCCCUAUUACAUGUUAGAAAUGUCAUGUAAGACUGCCUUGCCAUUUGGCGGGGAGGAAGGAGGGGCAGACGUCAAGUCCGCAUGGUCCUUAUGCCCUGGGCUACACACAUGUUACAAUGAGUACGGCAAUGAGUCUGUCGCGAGCACGUAAGUGUAAGCUAAUCUCUUAAAUGUACUCUCAGUGGGGAUUGAGGUCUGCAACUCGACCUCAUGAACACGGAAUCGGUAGUAAUCGCGGGUCAGCUAUACCGCGGUGAAUACGUUCUUGCCUCUUGCACACACCGCCCGUCAAACCAGCAAAGUC